GGGGGGAGGAGUUGCCUCCAGACUUUUGGGCUGUGUUUAGGCUCAUUAUAGGAUAGGAGAGCAUCUCCACUCUGCUGAGUGUGUACCAGGAGAUACAGGAAGGACCUGAAGGCAGAGUCAAGCUCCAGAAGAAGGACCACCAGGAUCCAGAAAAGGACCAGCACCCCCGGUCUACACUGGGACAGGAUUGUGUCAUCUUAAAAGACACCUCCAUCUGUGUGGGCCGAGUCAAGCCAAGGCAGAGCCAAGACUGACAGGAAAAGAACCCAACCACCAUGCUAGGAGAAGCCUCAAUCGCAUGGAGAGGCCAUGUGGAGGAGAGCUGAGUGAGUGACCACUUGGACAGCCCAGCCCAGUCAAGCCUUGGAUGAUUGCAGCCCAGCCAAUGCCAGGAGGACCAGAAGACCCAGCCAGCUGAGCCCAGCCAGCCCACAGAAUCAUGAGCAAUAAUAAAAGAUGGUUGUCUUAAGCCACUCAGUUUUGGGAAGAUUUGUUAUACAGUAAUUGAAAAUGGACACCUCCAGAAUUAGCAAACAAAAAGAUGGCUGGAAAUAAAUCCAACCAACGCAGUCUGUCGAGUUAUAAGCAAGAAGGAGUCUGGGAUGACUCCUUCGUGUCGUGAGGAUGUGACAUGAGGUAAAUGUUGGCAAACGCUGGGAUGAGAGGAGCUACUGACACUGGCUGCAGUCCUGAUUAUGAUCCACAGGGUCACACUUGUACAAUCAGCAGGCCUGCUAUCUAUCCCCUCCUGCCUCCCUAUUUAUCUUCACACUCAGAUAACUGCCUUCCUGCAGGCUUUGCCCACUGCCGCCCUGCACCCAUCCUGACCCAUCCCAGCCUGGGUGAAACCACACAAGAGGGUGGAUCUGGGGUUAGCCACGCUGCCAUCAGCCCAGGAUCCUGUGUGCCGAGGAUGGAAUUUGAAGCCCAGCAUCCCUGCCACCUGCUUGGAAUGUAAUGAUUAUCCCCAUGUUGGGGCUUGACACAGACACAGAGAAGUUCCCUUAUAAUGCAUCCCCCCU
This 1022-nucleotide long non-coding RNA is filed under the name Equus caballus (horse). Its description in RNAcentral is "lncRNA (ENSECAG00000045894.1)". Lineage: Eukaryota; Metazoa; Chordata; Mammalia; Perissodactyla; Equidae. The record is from RNAcentral.